AAUUCGACGCAACGCGCAGAACCUUACCUAGACUUGACAUCCCGGGGAUUUUCUGGAAACAGAGAAGUGCUUUAGCAAUAAAGAACCCGGUGACAGGUGCUGCAUGGCUGUCGUCAGCUCGUGUCGUGAGAUGUUGGGUUAAGUCCCGCAACGAGCGCAACCCUCGCCUUUAGUUGCCAGCAUUCAGUUGGGCACUCUAGAGGGACUGCCGGUGUCAAACCGGAGGAAGGUGGGGAUGACGUCAAGUCCUCAUGGCCUUUAUGUCUAGGGCUACACACGUACUACAAUGGCCGGUACAAAGGGCAGCCACUCAGCGAUGAGGCGCUAAUCCCAUAAAGCCGGUCUCAGUCCGGAUCGCAGUCUGCAACUCGACUGCGUGAAGUUGGAAUCGCUAGUAAUCAUAGAUCAGCAUGCUACGGUGAAUACGUUCCCGGGCCUU
This 439-nucleotide ribosomal RNA is filed under the name uncultured Desulfovibrio sp. RNAcentral describes it as "bacterial SSU rRNA". It matches the Rfam family "Bacterial small subunit ribosomal RNA", at positions 948 to 1382 of the family's 1533-position model. Lineage: Bacteria; Pseudomonadati; Thermodesulfobacteriota; Desulfovibrionia; Desulfovibrionales; Desulfovibrionaceae. The record is from RNAcentral.